Molecule: ribosomal RNA, 253 nt
Filed under: uncultured bacterium
Lineage: Bacteria
Description: partial 16S ribosomal RNA
Rfam family: Bacterial small subunit ribosomal RNA
Source: RNAcentral
UACAGGGGGGGCAAGCGUUGUCCGGAAUCAUUGGGCGUAAAGGGCGCGUAGGUGGCGGGACAAGCGUGCGGUGAAAGCUCGGGGCUCAACCCCGAGUCGGCCGUGCGAACUGUUUUGCUUGAGCACUGUAGAGGCAGGCGGAAUUCCGGGUGUAGCGGUGGAAUGCGUAGAGAUCCGGAAGAACACCGGUGGCGAAGGCGGCCUGCUGGGCAGUAGCUGACACUGAGGCGCGACAGCGUGGGGAGCAAACAGG